AACGAACGCUGGCGGCAUGCCUAACACAUGCAAGUCGAACGAGACCUUCGGGUCUAGUGGCGCACGGGUGCGUAACGCGUGGGAACCUGCCCUUAGGUUCGUAAUAACUCCCCGAAAGGGGUGCUAAUACCGGAUAAUGUCUUCGGACCAAAGAUUUAUCGCCUUUGGAUGGGCCCGCGUUGGAUUAGCUAGUUGGUAGGGUAAAAGCCUACCAAGGCGACGAUCCAUAGCUGGUCUGAGAGGAUGAUCAGCCACACUGGGACUGAGACACGGCCCAGACUCCUACGGGAGGCAGCAGUGGGGAAUAUUGGACAAUGGGCGAAAGCCUGAUCCAGCAAUGCCGCGUGAGUGAUGAAGGCCUUAGGGUUGUAAAGCUCUUUUACCCGGGAUGAUAAUGACAGUACCGGGAGAAUAAGCGCCGGCUAACUCCGUG
Molecule: ribosomal RNA, 433 nt
Filed under: uncultured bacterium
Lineage: Bacteria
Description: partial 16S ribosomal RNA
Rfam family: Bacterial small subunit ribosomal RNA
Source: RNAcentral